CUUGCUUCUCUUGAGAGCGGCGGACGGGUGAGUAAUGCCUAGGAAUCUGCCUGGUAGUGGGGGAUAACGUUCGGAAACGGACGCUAAUACCGCAUACGUCCUACGGGAGAAAGCAGGGGACCUUCGGGCCUUGCGCUAUCAGAUGAGCCUAGGUCGGAUUAGCUAGUUGGUGGGGUAAUGGCUCACCAAGGCGACGAUCCGUAACUGGUCUGAGAGGAUGAUCAGUCACACUGGAACUGAGACACGGUCCAGACUCCUACGGGAGGCAGCAGUGGGGAAUAUUGGACAAUGGGCGAAAGCCUGAUCCAGCCAUGCCGCGUGUGUGAAGAAGGUCUUCGGAUUGUAAAGCACUUUAAGUUGGGAGGAAGGGUUGUAGAUUAAUACUCUGCAAUUUUGACGUUACCGACAGAAUAAGCACCGGCUAACUCUGUGCCAGCAGCCGCGGUAAUACAGAGGGUGCAAGCGUUAAUCGGAAUUACUGGGCGUAAAGCGCGCGUAGGUGGUUUGUUAAGUUGGAUGUGAAAUCCCCGGGCUCAACCUGGGAACUGCAUUCAAAACUGACUGACUAGAGUAUGGUAGAGGGUGGUGGAAUUUCCUGUGUAGCGGUGAAAUGCGUAGAUAUAGGAAGGAACACCAGUGGCGAAAGCGACCACCUGGACUAAUACUGACACUGAGGUGCGAAAGCGUGGGGAGCAAAC
RNAcentral lists this ribosomal RNA (698 nucleotides) under uncultured bacterium. Its description in RNAcentral is "bacterial SSU rRNA". It matches the Rfam family "Bacterial small subunit ribosomal RNA", at positions 79 to 773 of the family's 1533-position model. The record is from RNAcentral.